Molecule: ribosomal RNA, 252 nt
Filed under: uncultured bacterium
Lineage: Bacteria
Description: partial 16S ribosomal RNA
Rfam family: Bacterial small subunit ribosomal RNA
Source: RNAcentral
UACGUAGGUCCCGAGCGUUGUCCGGAUUUAUUGGGCGUAAAGCGAGCGCAGGUGGUUUAUUAAGUCUGGUGUAAAAGGCAGUGGCUCAACCAUUGUAUGCAUUGGAAACUGGUAGACUUGAGUGCAGGAGAGGAGAGUGGAAUUCCAUGUGUAGCGGUGAAAUGCGUAGAUAUAUGGAGGAACACCGCUGGCGAAAGCGGCUCUCUGGCCUGUAACUGACACUGAGGCUCGAAAGCGUGGGGAGCAAACAGG